GCGCGUGUGGAUGUGCGAAGUGUGCGAGCAAGCGCCAGCCCACGUCACGUGCAAGGCGGACGCGGCUGCUCUCUGCGUCACGUGCGACCGAGACAUCCACUCCGCUAACCCUUUGGCUCGCCGUCACGAGCGCGUCCCCGUCACACCUUUCUACGAUUCCGUCUCCGGCACCGACGGCUCCGGCAAGCACACAGCCGUCAACUUCCUCAACGACUGUUACUUCACCGAUCUAGACGGAAAUGUUAGCCGUGAGGAGGAGGAGGAGGAGGAGGCGGCGUCGUGGCUGCUUCCGAAUCCGAAGACGACGGCACCGGCGGUACCGGGAGAUAGCCCGGAGAUGAACACGGGUCAAGGGUUCAUGUUCCCGGAUCUGGAUCUGGAUAACGGGACUGUUGAUCCGAAGCUGGAGUCUCAGGAGCCGAACAGCUCCGGCACCGACGGUGUGGUUCCGGUGGAGACUCGGAGGGUUGGAGUUCCGACGGUGAACGAGAACUGCUACGAGCUAGAUUUCACCGGAGGAUCCAAAGGCGUUAUUACGUACGGACACAACUGCAUCAGCCACAGCGUAAGCUACCUUUUGUCCGAACUUCUUACAUGUUCUCUUGUCAGUACUGAUUAGUUUAACUGAUUAUGUCGGAAAAGCAACUCAACGAACUCAAAAAGAACCAAUUGUUUAUCCAAUCUUAGAUCAUACUAUUAUUUAAUCAAAUACUCCUUUCCACUAUGAAAAAGUCUACGUUUGUUUCAAUCUUUUACAUUUUCAAUGUAUCAAUUGAUGAUAAAUUGCAAAUUUAAGAAAAUAUAAUUGUGUUUAUUAAAAGAGCUAAUUUGCUGAAUAUACUAAAAAGAGUGAGAUAUCAUAGAAUGGGGGGAAAAUGGUAAUGAUAGGGUAAGAAAAUUGGAGGGAUAUAGUGUAUGGAGUGCAAAUAUGGGAUAUUUGGUGUGUAAAGAGUACAAAUUCUCUGAUUAAAACUCUAUUGGUUAAACUUUUUUGAGAAUAAUUAAUUACAAAAAGACAAUAUAUAGAUAAUCAAAAUUUAAUAUUUUCUUAAUAUUAAUAUGACUGAAAAUUUUAAAACAUACAUAAUGUUUAGAUCUUUCAUGUUAAUUAUUAUUUUAAUUAGUACUAAUGAUUAGGUGAUCAUAUUUAGCGUUGGAAGCAAGCAACAUGUGUAAACCUAAUUUAAGUAAACCAAUAAAAUAUGAGAAAAAGACCAAAAUAGCACUAAAUCAAGUUUUUGUUCCUAAACUUGAAUUUAGAAUUCAAGGCCAAAAGUCACAAAAAUAGCACUCAAGGGGUGGGGUUUAGGGUUUAGAAUUUAGGGUUUAGAGUUUAGGUUUUAGGGUUUAGAGUUGAGAAGUGAGGUUUUGGGGAUAAGAUUUCAAAUUUUGAAAAAUAAAAAAAUUUAAAUUUUUCAAAAGAUAAAAUGCUAUUUUGGUCAUUUUAGUUUUUGAGUGCUAUUUUUGUGAUAUAAACUUAGAAAGGUGCUAUUUUGGAGAUUUGCCCGUAAAAUAUCUAAAUAAACCCUUUGUAACUACAGGUAUCAUCAUCGUCGUUGGAAGUGGGAGUGGUGCCAGAUGGCGGCUCUGUGGCCGACGUUUCGUACCCUUACGGUGCUCCUGCAACCAGUGGAACCGAUCCCGGAACUCAGCGAGCUGUUCCACUAACGUCAGCGGAGAGAGAGGCGAGAGUGAUGAGGUACAGAGAGAAGAGGAAGAACAGGAAGUUUGAGAAGACAAUAAGGUAUGCUUCGAGGAAAGCUUAUGCGGAGAUGAGGCCAAGGAUCAAGGGACGGUUUGCUAAGAGGACGGAUACGAAUGAGAGCAAUGACGUUGUUGGUCAUGGUGGUAUCUUUAGCGGGUUUGGACUUGUACCAACGUUUUAGAGAUUGCGAGAGAGAGAAUCUAAAAUGGUGUUUGGUGUUGUUUUAGUAAUAAGGUUUUAACAAACUUUUUUUUCUUAAGAGUUGUUUGUUUUUGUUGUUGAGUUCUUAGUACUUGUUAUGGAGGGAGAGAUGAGGAGAAGAGAGUGGAUGUGUUUAUAUGUAACUUGUGUUGUAUAUAUCAUGUGAUUUUGAACAAGUUUUUGCUUAUGUAUUGUUUUAUAUUUUGAGCAUUGUAGAAUUGCAAAUCUUACAUGUAUGUAGAGAUAAAACAGCAAAUGCAACAUGUAACUUUAGUACAUGUCAAUCAUAGAGGUAUGGUCUCUGAGACGCUGUGAACGGCAGUUAGCUUCUGAGUUGAGCCUGCCUAAGUCUUGGCUGCUUCUAGCUGCGGUCGGCUUUUGGUUCAGGCUUUCAUUCUCUGCCUUGCGGUCCAAGACGCUGUGUACUGCAGUAUGAUCUUGAUUGGUUUCUUUGGCUAAGAUCUUGUGGUCUGAGUCAUUGCUAACUGCUCUUUGCCAUUGAUUUGCUUCUUGAGAUGAGCUAGCAUGUGUUGAGGAUAUGUCGGAAGCUUUGAUGUUAGCAGUCUUGAUCUCCAGAAAACAAACAACUACACAUGUAAUAUUGUCUGCACUUCCUCUCUUUAUUCAACCUCUUUUUUCACCAAUGCAACAGACUAUUUGUAGUUUUGUACUGUUCGUAAUUAAACUUGAAAAAAUUACAUGAAGUUUCAUUAGUUAAAUAAAGGUAAAACCGAACAUUAACUAUUUUUUUAAUCUGCGUAUAUUUUCUUUUAAACAACAUAUUAUUUGAAACCGAGAGAAUAUUCGCGAGAAAAAGUUAAUAGCUUCAUGAGAUAUCAUAAAUCCUCAAUAACAUUGCCAUUUCCACUUCUAUAUAUAACAGCUCUGGAAUCUCCAACAAGAAUAGCUGUAGACGCCGUUGAACCAGCGUCUCUAGUGUGACUAUUUUCUGACUUGAGAAGUUCACAGUCUGUAUUAUGCAUCAGCUGGAAAAAAAAAACAAAGCCAAUAUAAUGCACAUUCUUAAAUCAACAAUGAUAAGUUUGAAACCAAAAGAACCUUGAUAGGGAAGUAAACCUAUAGCAAAUUGGUGUCAGAUAUGAACUUAGGAUGCAUCAAAAGAUUGCUGAAAAGAUGACGCUUCACAUACUCAGCUGCUCUAGCUCCACUAUGGCCCCGCAGCAACACAAUAAGAAAGAUGAUUCAGAUUUGGUCUUUCUUAAGGGCAAGCCUAACGUAUAAGUUGUUUAUAUUACCAUCAAAGACUCCAAAUAGACCAACGAUUUCUCCUACGAUACCGUCGAUCCUAGUCUCAAAACGGUCUUCCCUAUAUGAUCCUAGCUAAACUUUCCAUUCUGGCUGCAGUUAUAUAAUAUGAACAUUGUGGCUGGUCAGUUCAUAUCUAGGAGAGCUCACUGGAUAAAAAUGUAUGAAAAUUUUUGUCACCAGAAAAGGCUAAGAACCACAAUGAUGAAGAAUUGAAGAUCAUUGUAUACCUUAAUAACGCUCAAUAUCUUCACCAAUACUAAAGUCUAGUCCUACACUUUCUUCUUCCAAUGAAACAGGAGAGUAUAUUCUAAAACCAAUAAUAAAAUAAAAAUGAGCACAUGAGUUUAUUCCGCUUGUAUAAACUUUAUUAGGGGAUGUACUCAUACCUCCCACAUCUUAAAUUCAAAGUUACUUUGAGCAAUAUAUAAACGAUCAGGACCAAUCUACUUACUACUAUAAACUUGCUUGACCGAAUAUUAAUGUCAUAAAAUUCCGAGAUUUCUGGUCGAUAAAAACCAUCAUCUCGAAAAAGAUAUUAGAGAUAUAUUAUCCACAUUAAAAAUGCAAAAAACAUUAAAUAAUAUAUAAAUGGUUAGAAUCAAUCUCAGCUGCGACUCGAAGGUCCACGCGGCGAACAAGCUUGCGUCGAGACACGCCCGCGUGUGGAUGUGCGAAGUGUGCGAGCAAGCGCCAGCUCACGUCACGUGCAAGGCAGACGCGGCUGCUCUCUGCGUCACGUGCGACCGAGACAUCCACUCCGCUAACCCUUUGGCUCGCCGUCACGAGCGCGUCCCCGUCACACCUUUCUACGAUUCCGUCUCCGGCACCGACGGCUCCGGCAAGCACACAGCCGUCAACUUCCUCAACGACUGUUACUUCACCGAUCUAGACGGAAAUGUUAGCCGUGAGGAGGAGGAGGAGGAGGAGGCGGCGUCGUGGCUGCUUCCGA
RNAcentral lists this long non-coding RNA (4124 nucleotides) under Brassica napus (rape). RNAcentral describes it as "long non-coding RNA (BNAP_LNC007282)". Lineage: Eukaryota; Viridiplantae; Streptophyta; Magnoliopsida; Brassicales; Brassicaceae. The record is from RNAcentral.